Molecule: long non-coding RNA, 177 nt
Organism: Mastomys coucha (southern multimammate mouse)
Lineage: Eukaryota; Metazoa; Chordata; Mammalia; Rodentia; Muridae
Exons: 2
Source: RefSeq, a predicted model, not a curated record
CACAGCCAGGUAUGCCUCGCCCCACAGUUACCUGGGAACAGAAAGGGAAUGGAAGUUCUUAUCACUUCUUCGGCUAGAGCAAUAGUGAUAAAAACUCCAUGGAUUGGUACAGAAACAGACACAUUGUUCAAUGGAAUCAAAUCGAAGACCCCAAAAUAAAGCCAUGCACCUAUGAUA